GAGUUUGAUCCUAGCUCAGGACGAACGCUGGCGGCGUGCUUAACACAUGCAAGUCGAGCGGUAAGGCCCCUUCGGGGGUACACGAGCGGCGAACGGGUGAGUAACACGUGAGCAAUCUGCCCUUCACAUCGGGAUAACCUCGGGAAACCGAAGCUAAUACCGGAUACGACCACCGAUGGCAUCUUCUGGUGGUGGAAAGUUCCGGCGGUGAAGGAUGAGCUCGCGGCCUAUCAGCUUGUUGGUGGGGUAAUGGCCUACCAAGGCGACGACGGGUAGCCGGCCUGAGAGGGUGACCGGCCACACUGGGACUGAGACACGGCCCAGACUCCUACGGGAGGCAGCAGUGGGGAAUAUUGGACAAUGGGCGAAAGCCUGAUCCAGCAACGCCGCGUGAGGGAUGACGGCCUUGGUUG
RNAcentral lists this ribosomal RNA (413 nucleotides) under uncultured bacterium. RNAcentral describes it as "bacterial SSU rRNA". It matches the Rfam family "Bacterial small subunit ribosomal RNA", at positions 9 to 425 of the family's 1533-position model. The record is from RNAcentral.